ACUUAGGUAGUUUAAUGUAGAAUAAUAAUUUGUGGUGUUAUUGGUGCGUGUUGGCUCUAAGUU
This 63-nucleotide transfer RNA is filed under the name Aneurus similis. Its description in RNAcentral is "tRNA-His". The record is from RNAcentral. Lineage: Eukaryota; Metazoa; Arthropoda; Insecta; Hemiptera; Aradidae.